GUGGCAUUGCUGGGUUGUGUGGCGCACACAUGCCAAGCGAGCUACGGGUAUCCCAACCCAGCACCAGCGGUACUCACCGUGGGCUACUACCAGACGAAGUGCCAUAACGCGGAGAAGAUCGUGAGGGAGGUCGUCGAGGAGGCUGCAAAGGCCGACCCUGACAUCGGCGCCGCGCUGAUCCGCCUCUUCUUCCACGACUGUUUCGUCAGGGGUUGUGAUGCCUCGGUUCUCCUUGACAACACCACGGCCAACCCGCAGCCGGAGAAGUUCGGCAUCCCCAACUUCCCCAGCCUCCGUGGUUUCGAGGUGAUCGAUGCGGCCAAGGAGAAGCUUGAGAAGGAGUGCGAGGGCGUCGUCUCAUGCGCUGACAUCGUGGCCUUCGCCGGGCGCGACGCCACCGUCUUGCUAAGCGACAGGAAGUCCAACUUCGACAUGCCGGCCGGCCGCUACGACGGGAACGUGUCCCUCGCCAGCGAGACCCUCCCCAACCUGCCCCCUCCCUUCGCCAACGUCAGUGUCCUCGAGGAUAUGUUCAGGGUCAAGGGGCUCAGCCUCGAGGACAUGGUCACCCUCUCGGGCGCCCACACGGUCGGGAUCUCCCACUGCUCGUCCAUCCGUAACCGCCUCCCCCCAAACCCCUCAUCGAUGGAUCCUACUUUAGCCGCAUCCCUGCAGGGGCAGUGCAGCCGCGGCGGCGACCCCACUGUGGUUCAGGACCCCGAGACUCCCGAUGAUCUUGACAACCAAUACUAUGACAACGUGCAGAAACGCAAGGUGCUGUUCAAGUCAGACGCCGCGCUCAUGUCAUCUGAGACCACAUUGAGAUUGGUGGACAACCACGCCAAGGACCCGCAGGAGUGGUUGAAGCAAUUCCAGGCGGCUAUGGUGAAAAUGGGCAGCAUCGAGGUGAAGACCGAGGCCAACGGGCAGAUCGGAAAGAACUGCCGGUUAGGCAAAUAA
This 960-nucleotide ribosomal RNA is filed under the name Triticum aestivum (bread wheat). RNAcentral describes it as "partial small subunit ribosomal RNA". The record is from RNAcentral. Lineage: Eukaryota; Viridiplantae; Streptophyta; Magnoliopsida; Poales; Poaceae.